This is a long non-coding RNA of Mauremys mutica (yellowpond turtle), 3085 nucleotides long. RefSeq lists it as uncharacterized. The record is from RefSeq and is a predicted model, not a curated record. Lineage: Eukaryota; Metazoa; Chordata; Testudines; Geoemydidae. The transcript is spliced from 5 exons.
GGAACACAUUUUUAAAUAAUCAGUUUGUCAGCACCUACAGGAUAAUUUGGUUCUUAGGACUAGUGAGCAUGGAUUUCUCUGUCUCUUGGCAAUAAGACAAACUCUUGUUUUCACAGCCAGUCGAUCGCCCAGUGUCAUCACCCUGCCUGCUGGCUGGGCAGAGUAACUCCUCAGGUCACCACCCUCUCCACCCUGCCUUGGGCUUGGAGAGUGAGGAGGAGGGCAAGGGACAUCUGGCAACCCUGAACAUCCGCCAUCCAUCGCUCCAUCACCUAGAGCAAGGCUGACCAUCCAUGAGGCCGAAGACCUGUGGUGUUGGGACUGGCACCAGGACAGCUGGCUCCUGGGCUACAGGAACACAACCAGUGUGGGGGAGGUCUUUGGAAAGUUCUUCUCAGAGGAGUAGAGAAGAUUCUUCCUCCGGACAACAGUGCUGGCCAUUCACGACCCCCUGCUGCGUGUCAGCCAGGCUGGGCUGCUCCUUGCCUACUCCGUCCUGGGGGAAGCCCAACAGCUGAUGGGGGACAAACAGGAGGACAUCACGGCCAAUGUGAUGCACCAGCUCCACAUCAUCCGGCACUUGCGCCGGAUGCCCGAGGCACUGCAGGGGCUGUGCCUCUGAGGCCACCAGCAGCUCCCGCUUCCUGCUGCAGGUACUGCUCUGGCUCCCUGUAAAUGGGGAGCUAGUGGAAGAGGAAAUGGAGCCCCCAGCACUCACAGAAACUUUCUCCCCUCUCUAUGGAGCAGGGUCCUUCCCUCUGCCCCCCAAAUUCCUUCAUCUCACACCCACUCCCCUCCCUCCUUUCCUUGGUCUACUCCCAUCCCAUUCCCCCUGAUCCCAGGCAGAGCUCUCCCUGCCCCAUAUGGUGCAGAAGGGCUGUUGUGUCAGGCCACACCCCUAGCCCCACUGAAGCUUGGAAAGCUCCAUUUUUGAGGAGGUAGGGGUGGGACAGAGGCUCAGGACUAGCUUCACCUCCUGCCCUUUAUUCUCCCCUUGGCCCUUCUAUGGGGUCUCUGAGUGUAAAAUGAAUAGGAGCCUCCUUCCCAGCUGUCUUCCAGGCCCUGGGAUCUGUCACAGCCUCCCAGAUGGGUGCACCCUGCAGCUGAGCCACCUCCAGGAGCAGUGGGGACAGAUCACCUUGUCCCAUCAAAGCAAGCAAUGCUGGGUCUCAAAGAGGCUUAGAUGGAAGAACCCGCUCCCUCAUGGAGGAAGGAGGCUCCCCAGAGAUGUCCUUGAACCUGCACUCCUGAGAGCGUUUCCAGCUCCACUUCCUGCAGCAGGGCAAAUGAACCCUUCAGCUCCCAGAAUCCCAGCUCUUUGACCUCUUUCCGCUGAGCCGUGGGGUUUCUCCAGCCCCCUCACCACACCUGUCAGCCUCUGAAUGAUGAAGGGCCUGAAUGUCAGAGUCACCAGAACAAGCAAACUCCAGUUCCAGGCAGUGGAGCCUGUGUGUAUUCAGCCCCUCUGGAAACCAGGUCUGAAAUGGGGAGCAAAGACCCCAGCUCAGGAACAGUAGGAGUGAGCAGAGCAGGCCUGUAACACUCUGAUGGGUGUUAAACUCGCUGCUUGGCAUCUCUUCACGGCUGGGCGUGGCGUAGCAGCUCUCUCCCUCUUGGGGUGGCAGCUGCCUCUGUAACGCUGACAGAUGAUUACAGAAUGAACCCUAACUGAGAGGCACCAUGUACCUCCCCCUGAAGAGCCAGACUUCAGUGGUGAUACAGCCCAGCUGGGGUAUCAACUGGAAUGAGAACGAGGUAGGAAGUUCAGAGCAGCAAGGAAAGCCUAGAGGGGAACUUAAGAAGAGAGAUAGGAAGUGCCCAAGGAAAACUGCAGCAAAGAGAAAGGAGCAGACCAAGCUGUUGGGAACAGGGCCCUGGGCUGCUACCGAUGUGAGGGUGGGACUGGGUUCCCCUACUGGCCCCAAAGAAGGGGGCAUACACACACCCAUAGAGGGUUACCAAGCCCAGCAAGGGGUACAGGCUGAGCAAGAGCCCCAGCGAUGGCAGAAGGACUUCUUUCUGUCGAAAGACCUCUUCGGACUUUUAGUGUGAGACAAGCUGGGCCCCAGACGGGUGAAUUAAAAAGGUGGUCACCUGGCGGAGGGCUAAGUUACCAGGCAGAGAAACUGCCAUGGUGCUGGAGCGACCAUGGAUGGGGUACGCUAGCCCAGCAAGAGGGCUGUGAUGCCAUGCCUGGCUGCCAGGGGGGCACGUAACGAUGAGUAGAUUCAUUUAUGAUUGGCAUAGUCAGGAGGAUUGAUUUGACUGUAUUCAGUAAGGACCAGUAAGGAGGUUUUGGAACAAAUUGAUAAAUUAAACAGGAACAAGUCACCAGAACUAGAUGGUAUUCACCCAAGAGUUCUAAAGAAACUCAAAUGUGAGAUUGCAGGACUACUAACUAACUGUGGUAUGUAACCUAUCCUUUAAAUCAGCUUCUUUACCAGAUGACUGGAGGAUAGCUAAUAUGACACCAAUGUUUAAAAAAGGCUCCAGAGACGCUCUUGGAAUUACAGGCCACUAAGGCUAACUUCAGUACCAGGCAAAUUGGGUGAAAUUAUAGUAAAGAGCAGAAUUAUUAGACACAUAGAUAAACACAAUUUCUGGGGAAGAGUGAACACGGUUUUUGUAAAGGGAAAUUAUGCCUCACGAAUCAACAAGCAUUUGGAUAAAGGUGAUCCAGUGGAUAUAGUGUACUUAGAUUUUCAGAGAGCCUUUGACAAGGUCCCUCACCAAAGGCUCUGAAGCAAAAUGGGAUAAAAUGGAAGGUCCUUUCUGGGAUAGGUAACUGGUUAAAAGGCACGAAAGAAAGUGUCCGACUAAAAGGUCAGUUUUCAGAAUGGAGAGAGGUAAAUAGUGGUGUCCCUCAGGCAUCUGUACUGGGACCAGUACUGUUCUGGAAAAAGGAGUAAACAGUGAGGUGGCAACAUCUGCAGAUGAUACAAACCAACUCAAGUGAGUUAAGUCCAAAAGAGACUGCAAAGUGUGACAAAGGGAGCUCACCAAACUGGGUGACUGGGCAGCAAAAUGGCAGAUGAAAUUCAAUGUUGAUAAAUGCAAAGAAAUGCACAUUGAAAAACAUGAUCCC